AUUCUCACACAGCCACUACUAUUCUGUUCUGUGUGAAGAAAGCUGCACCUCAGUGUUACCCCAGAAGUAAGGUGAUUACAUGAGGAGAAGGUUUGGUACAGUGUGUCACGCCAGUAGUCAGGUGAUUACACAAGGAGGGGAUUCUUUACAGUGUGUCACCGCAAAAGCUGUCCAAAAAUGUGCCUGAAUUUGCUCUGGCGCACUACUCUUCGGCUCAUUGUGGAAAUACUGUAUAAACAAGAGAAAGGCAAUAAUUCAUAGGGGCUUCGGAGACAGGACUUCAUCUUUGAAGUUAGAAACACCAGAUGGCUUCCAGUCAUGGGCUAAGGUGGCAUAAUGUCUACUUAAACUCAGGGAUGGAAUUUUGCUUUGUUGGAAAAAAAAGGUGCAAACAUGAAUAAAGAAAGUUAUAAGUGAGGACACAGCCUCUGCCACAGGUUUAAAAGUGACAGUGCUAACUGCAGUCAAGAAUCUGUAUGGUGGUAUGACAGCAGAUGCCACACCUGCAAAGGGGUAUUCAGGGAUUUUUUUUAUUUGACUAUGCUACAGGUGCUGUAAAGUUAAUGUACUUCAUAAUAUAGUGUCUGUACCUGUGUUUCAUGGAUGGUCUUGCAAUUGAUGUGAUCUUUGUCCUAAUAACA
Molecule: long non-coding RNA, 641 nt
Organism: Hyla sarda
Lineage: Eukaryota; Metazoa; Chordata; Amphibia; Anura; Hylidae
Exons: 4
Source: RefSeq, a predicted model, not a curated record